UGCAACAAAGCUUGAAUAAUCAUUCGAGUAAAAUACUCAUCCCUACAACGGUUAGACUCAAACAAGAGCUAUGUAAUAGGGUCAAAUUCAUCACUCUGAGAUUAUUCAACCUUUGUCACAUGUUACUUAAAAUAUUCACUUAAUAAGUUACUCACAUCACUUAAGAGUUCCACAAAGCACAAAGAAAGCAUCAUUCGUGUAGUAGCACUCCAAUCCAUAGAAUAACAAAAGAACAUUCAAGCUCCCAUACUACAACUCAUGCUAGGAACUUCCACUCUCACUAGCGAUUGCCUUAUGUGUAACGCCCGCAAAUCUGGGCUAGUCAAAUUAGAGGCAAUAGGGGUCGAAAACGACUUUUCGACAAAAGAUUAUUUAGAAUAAAUAAUCUUAAUCAAGUUGUAGAGUAUGUUACAAGGUUUUCGUACAUAUAAAGAACGCCGAAAACCGAGUUAUAACGAAGAAGUUAUGACCCGUUAAAGUUUCGCGACGGAACCGGCACGAUACCGGGAAGCGUAAAUAGUGAAUUUACGAUAGAGCGAGAUUUAGCCUUAGCGAUCUAAACGAAAGUCGUAGAAUAUGUUAAAAUAAGAACAUCGAUAAAAAGAACGCCCAAAUCUGACUUCGUAUGAGGAAGUUAUGAUUUUUCUAAGAUUUAGCAUAGCAGUGCACAGCCCGAAAUCUGAAUUUUAGAUCGGUCGAUUUUUAGCCGACGGGAUCUAAAUGAAAGUUGGAGUACUCGUAAAUACCAACGCGUGGAUAUAAAGAACGUCGAUAAUAGAGCUCGUAUGCAAAAGUUAUGGACGAAGCUUAGUCCCUACUUUUCGAGCGCGGUGAAAUCGAUACAGUUUUGUAAAUACGAGAUAGAAUGAGAAUUAGCCAACGAGGUCUAAAUGAGAGUUGAAGAUCUCAUUAAUAGGAACUCAACGGUAAAAAGACAGACAAAAAUGGAGCUCGUAUGCGAAAGUUAUGGACGAAGCUUAGUCCCUACUUUUCGAGCGCGGCGAAUUUGAUACAGUUUUGUAAAUCCGAGAUAGAAUGAGAAUUAGCCAACGAGGUCUAAAUGAAAGUUGAAGAUCUCAUUAAUAGGAACUCAACAGUAAAAAGACAGACAAAAACGGAGCUCGUAUGCAAAAGUUACGGACGAAGCUUGGAGACUACUUUACUAUACACUUCCUAUAAAUACAAGGGUGAACUCCUCAUAUUUUCUUCACACCAUAAGCCUUUCUUUCUCUCUCUAACUUCUCUCUAACCUCCCUAAACCCCUCCCAAGUCUAGGGAACCUCCCUAUCACGAGAAGAAAGCCCCGGAGCGCCCGACGGCUCCGAGAAGAAAAGCUUUCGGCUCGGAAACGCUGCUCCAGCGAAGCCCGGUUUUUAAUAAAAACCCGCUGUAAGUGAGCUACGCCUAUAGUAUAUUUAAUAUAGAUUUUAUUUAAUUAUAGUAACAUUGUUAGGACCUUAAAAUAAUUAUUUAGGCUAUUAUUAUGAGUUAUAUUGAGUGUUAUUUAACGCUUAUAUAAUAGUAAUAAUAGCUAGACUAUUAAAUUAGUCUCGUCAAGCGUUAGACUAAACUCUAGUGGUAAUGAUACUAGGUUUCGUCAAGGGAUAAUUGUUUUAAGAGUAACGAAGUGCUGUCCGAGUGCCGACUCACCACCUUUCAGGUGAGUGCAUAGUCCCUUUCAUCUUACACAUAGAUAUGAAGUAUUUUAUAUAAACUACGUGCUAUGUGUGCACAUUAUCUGAAUACUUGCUGUCUAUGCUGGUUGAACGUUUUAUACAUGUUUUAAAGGACUUAAACUGUAUACGUAUUUUAUAUAUACGAAAAUGUUGGGUAUGAGAUGGGUAGAUGAAUGAUGAGAGAUAGAAGAUGACGUGAGUAUACAUUGGCAGCUAUAGACUUAGUGCCUAUGGGACAAACACCGGUAGCUAUGGACUUAGUACCUUUUAGACGUUGGUAGCUAUGGAUUUAGUACCUGUUGGGAAUUGGUAGCUAUGGACUUAGUACCUAUUAGUUAGACGCUGGUAGCUAAGGAUUUAGUACCUGUAGGAAUUGGUAGCUAUGGACUUAGUACCUGUUGAACAUUGGUAGCUAUGGACUUAGUACCUAUUAGAUAAAGACUGGUAGCUAUGGAUUUAGUACCCGAUGAAUAGACUAUAGCAGCUAUGGAAUUAGUGCUUUAUGAACGAACAUUGGCAGCUAUGGAUUUAGUGCCAGUCCCAUAACCCUGGAAGUAAGGGACUUCGGAAUAAACGAAUGCAGGAUAGAUGACUCUUAGGUUAAAUCCUUAAAGAGUAAAGAAGAUAAUGGGGAUGGGUAAUUGGGUUGAUUGUUUGAUUGAACAUAAUAAUUAUAUUAUUGUGGGUUGAAAACCCUAUGUACUCACCAGGUUUCCCAACCUGACCCACUCAGUUUAUGUAUAUCACAGGUGACGAAGUGAAGUGACAUUACACUGAGAGAUUUAAAAGAGAUGUAGAUCACUAGUGUAAAUCAUUGUAAUUCUGUUUAUGCUUAUGUUUCGGUAUUAACGAUGACAUCCCAAACAUUUUAAAAUGAAAUAAAUACGUUUCUUCGAAAAUGUUUUAAUAACGUAUUUACCAUGUUUUUCUGGGAACAAAUUCCGCAACCUUUUUAUAAAAUGAAGUACUCUGAUUUUUAUAAAGCAUAAACAAAAUCGGUCUUUUCUGGCCGUGAUUUUGGGGAUGUCACAGUUGGUAUCAGAGCAUUAGUUUAAGCGAACUAGGAAUAUGGAUUUAUUUCUAGACUUAAACUUAGAAUGCUAAGCGAUGAUUGUGAGGUGUGAGCACUAGCUUAUUUUAGGAAUUGUGCCUAAAAUGCUUUUAUGUGCUAAAUGCUUUGUGCAUGAUAUGUUGUUAAUUGUUCGGAUCUAUGGUCUGUUGCCGACCGGAUCUGGAAACCUUAUGUGUUUAGGAUUCUAAACGUACGACUACGGUAUUAGAACUAGCAUGUAAAUGUUUCGGAGUGAUAAGGAUGAUUUAAACGUCAAGUAAAGGUCUAAAUUCACCUUAUUCGGUGUAUAGAUCGAGAUGGUAAGGACCCGUAGCGGAAACGUAAACGCAAAUGGGAACAGGAACCAACCCCCAGUGGUUCAGCAAAUACCUGUUGUAGAAGAAGUUGCGCCUGAGCCAGUCACCAUGGCUGGAGUUCAAGCCAUGAUUCGGGCUAUGUUGGCUGAACAAAGGGAAGAAAUGAGACGGAUGUUGAAUAGGGACGAACCUACUAUGCCCAUUGAGCAACCCGAACUGAUUCCCGAGCAAUCUGAGGAAGGGAACUACAGCCGCCAAGUGAGUCAAGUUGGGACUCAAGGUGAGCAAAGGGAUGGCCCAGAAGGGAGAAACAACAAGGAUGGGCGGAUGUACAAGAACUUCUUGGGUGCGAAACCACCAAGCCUCUCAGGAAGCCCAAAGCCGGUUGAGGUUAUGGAUUGGAUCUCUGAGAUGGAGAUGGUGUUUGAGAGCUGCAGCUGUAAUGAGAAACAGAAGACUGUCUUUGCAGUAAGACAGCUGAAAACUGGAGUCUUGAGCUGGUGGAAGCUAUUGGCAGAUACGAUGCCACGAGGAGAAGCCUUAAGGAUGUCGUGGGAAGAGUUUUUGGAACAGUUGAAAAUGCAGUACUGCUCGGAGGUAGAUCUGAUAGACCUAAACAACGAGUUUCAGAACCUGAAGAAAGGGAAGAUGAGUGUUGAUGAGUAUGCCACCGCAUUUACCGAGAGGAUGAAGCUAUUUCCCUACUUGGUGCCUACUGAACUCUCCAAGAUUGAUAGGUUUGCUAACGGACUGCCCACUGACUUUGGUCCAAUGGUCAAAAUGGCAACUACCUUAAAAGCAGCUAUUAGGGCAGCUAAGAACGUAGAGGCCCAGAUAAGAGAAAAGGGUCUAGAAAAAGAUAAGGCAGGAGAGAAGCGAAAGUUUGAGGGAUCUUCGAGGUCGAACAAGGAAAGCAAAUUCUCAAAACUCGGAGGAGCAGAUGGAGGUGAAACAAGAUGGUGUGAUAAAUGCAAGAAGAAGCAUGGUGGGAAGUGCAACGAAGAAGUGACUUGUUACAAGUGUGGGAGGACGGGUCACUAUUCCAAAGACUGCACACAUAAUGACAAAGUAUGCUACGGAUGUGGAGGCAAGGGGCACAUGUCCAGAGACUGCCCAAGGAAAAAUAAAGCAGCAAGACCAGAAACGCCACCAAGGCCAAGGGCAUUUCACAUGAUCCUCGACGAAGCAGAGAACCAUGCGAGGAAUCAAGAAUGAGGACUUCUUACCCGAAGAUCGGAUUAUGCAGUAGCCAUAGUUUCGUAUGAUGUAGCCUAGUAGAGGCAUAGUCUAGGGUGAACUUGAACACCUAUGUAAUCGUUUCAAGAAUUAAUAUAAAACCUUCGUUUUGUUAUCUGAUGUGUCGAAUGAUUGUGUGAUUUGCUGCAUGGUGACUUGGGAAACUGCGAGACAAUACUUGGGACGAGUAUGAGUAGGUGUGAAUGGUAGUAGAGGCCUAUACUACCGGAAGCACAGGACUCACACUUGGAUCAGGGAAAGUCACAAGGUUACCAAGAAGCUAGUAAUUGAUUUCGUUUUAUUCAAGUGUGUUGUUACCAUCGUUUCGGUAAUGACUAAGAAGAUUGUUGAUAUUCCGACCCUAGUGGUCAUAUCGAAUCGAGUCCGACUACGAUGAGUAUGUUGUGUGGUUCAGAGAACCAAGUUUGAUGUAGCGUCCGACUUAAACCAAACGGUUGAAAUCAAAGCGAUCAAUAGAAGUAUCGCACUCGUUGUUAAAGAAGUUGGUGGCUAGAAAUGCCUAAUGUUAAAGUGUGAUUAUAUCACAUUAGAACAUGAAGGAAGGCAUAGUCUGUUUUAGAAUUUAACUCUAAGAGACCUAAGUCUAAGUGUUGCAACAUACGAUGAUAGGUCAUUAGAAUAUGACACAUCGAUCUAUAGUAGUAAUAAAAGAACUUAUCUCAAGUCCGUAUCCAGCAAGGAUCGAGAUUGUGACUUGAAGGUCAUAAUUUGGAGUCUAACCUGAGGUAGAGAGCAGGUGCACGAUCGAGUACUCUUACAGUCAAUGAGUUUAAGAGAUAGAAUCGAAGGAAUGUAGAAGUUAUAAUUAUUACCUAGGAUGAAGAGAUGACGUAUGGAGUCAUUAUACGACCCUGUUUCGUUGAUGAUUCCGGGACGUAAUCAUCCUAAGGGGGAGAUAAUUGUAACGCCCGCAAAUCUGGGCUAGUCAAAUUAGAGGCAAUAGGGGUCGAAAACGACUUUUCGACAAAAGAUUAUUUAGAAUAAAUAAUCUUAACCAAGUUGUAGAGUAUGUUACAAGGUUUUCGUACAUAUAAAGAACGCCGAAAACCGAGUUAUAACGAAGAAGUUAUGACCCGUUGAAGUUUCGCGACGGAACCGGCACGAUACCGGGAAGCGUAAAUAGUGAAUUUACGAUAGAGCGAGAUUUAGCCUUAGCGAUCUAAACGAAAGUCGUAGAAUAUGUUAAACUAAGAACAUCGAUAAAAAGAACGCCCAAAUCUGACUUCGUAUGAGGAAGUUAUGAUUUUUCUAAGAUUUAGCAUAGCAGUGCACAGCCCGAAAUCUGAAUUUUAGAUCGGUCGAUUUUUAGCCGACGGGAUCUAAAUGAAAGUUGUAGUACUCGUAAAUACCAACGCGUGGAUAUAAAGAACGUCGAUAAUAGAGCUCGUAUGCAAAAGUUAUGGACGAAGCUUAGUCCCUACUUUUCGAGCGCGGCGAAUUCGAUACAGUUUUGUAAAUACGAGAUAGAAUGAGAAUUAGCCAACGAGGUCUAAAUGAGAGUUGAAGAUCUCAUUAAUAGGAACUCAACGGUAAAAA
RNAcentral lists this long non-coding RNA (5837 nucleotides) under Lactuca sativa (garden lettuce). RNAcentral's name for it is "long non-coding RNA (LSAT_LNC007263)". Lineage: Eukaryota; Viridiplantae; Streptophyta; Magnoliopsida; Asterales; Asteraceae. The record is from RNAcentral.